This 254-nucleotide ribosomal RNA is filed under the name uncultured bacterium. RNAcentral's name for it is "partial 16S ribosomal RNA". It matches the Rfam family "Bacterial small subunit ribosomal RNA", at positions 524 to 776 of the family's 1533-position model. The record is from RNAcentral.
GACGAACCGUGCGAACGUUAUUCGGAAUCACUGGGCUUAAAGCGCGUGUAGGCGGGGCGGCACGUCGGUCGCUGUAAGCCCCCGGCUCAACCGGGGAACGGGCGCCGAUACGACCGCCCUCGAGGGACGUAGGGGGACCUGGAACUUCCGGUGGAGCGGUGAAAUGCGUUGAGAUCGGAAGGAACGCCCGUGGCGAAAGCGAGGUCCUGGACGUCUGCUGACGCUGAGACGCGAAAGCCAGGGGAGCGAACGGG